UACGGGAGGCAGCAGUGGGGAAUCUUGCGCAAUGCGCGAAAGCGUGACGCAGCAAAGCCGGGUGAGGGAAGAAGGCCUUCGGGUUGUAAACCUUUUUCAGUUGGGACGAAGCCUCGACGGUUAAUACCCGUUUGGGGGGACGGUACCUUCAGAAGAAGCCCGGGCUAACUACGUGCCAGCAGCCGCGGUAAUAAGUAGGGGGCAAGCGUUGUCCGGAAUCAUUGGGCGUAAAGAAAGGGUAGGUGGCUUGGUAAGUCCGCUCUGAAAGCCCGGGGCUCAACCCCGGGAGGCGGGUGGAUACUGUCAAGCUUGAGUCCGGAAGAGGGAAGUGGAAUUCCCGGUGUAGGGGUGAAAUGAGCAGAUAUAGGGAGGAACACCAAUGGCGAAGGCAGCUCGCUGGGACGUGACAGACAGUGAGACGGGAAAGCGAGGGGAGCGAACAGGAUUAAAUACCCUGGUAGUCCACCCCCUAAACGAUGGGCACUAGGUGUGGGAGGUGUCGACUCCUCCCGUGCCGAAGCUAACGC
RNAcentral lists this ribosomal RNA (527 nucleotides) under uncultured Actinomycetes bacterium. RNAcentral describes it as "bacterial SSU rRNA". It matches the Rfam family "Bacterial small subunit ribosomal RNA", at positions 340 to 858 of the family's 1533-position model. The record is from RNAcentral. Lineage: Bacteria; Bacillati; Actinomycetota; Actinomycetes.